UUCCUACGGGAGGCAGCAGUGGGGAAUAUUGGACAAUGGGGGCAACCCUGAUCCAGCCAUGCCGCGUGUGUGAAGAAGGCCUUUUGGUUGUAAAGCACUUUAAGCAGGGAGGAGAGGCUAAUGGUUAAUACCCAUUAGAUUAGACGUUACCUGCAGAAUAAGCACCGGCUAACUCUGUGCCAGCAGCCGCGGUAAUACAGAGGGUGCGAGCGUUAAUCGGAAUUACUGGGCGUAAAGCGAGUGUAGGUGGCUCAUUAAGUCACAUGUGAAAUCCACGGGCUUAACCUGGGAACUGCAUGUGAUACUGGUGGUGCUAGAAUAUGUGAGAGGGAAGUAGAAUUCCAGGUGUAGCGGUGAAAUGCGUAGAGAUCUGGAGGAAUACCGAUGGCGAAGGCAGCUUCCUGGCAUAAUAUUGACACUGAGAUUCGAAAGCGUGGGUAGCAAACAGGAUUAGAUACCCUGGUAGUCCACGCCGUAAACGAUGUCUACUAGCCGUUGGGGUCCUUGAGACUUUAGUGGCGCAGUUAACGCGAUAAGUAGACCGCCUGGGGAGUACGGCCGCAAGGUUAAAACUCAAA
RNAcentral lists this ribosomal RNA (578 nucleotides) under uncultured bacterium. RNAcentral describes it as "bacterial SSU rRNA". It matches the Rfam family "Bacterial small subunit ribosomal RNA", at positions 336 to 905 of the family's 1533-position model. The record is from RNAcentral.